This 253-nucleotide ribosomal RNA is filed under the name uncultured bacterium. Its description in RNAcentral is "partial 16S ribosomal RNA". It matches the Rfam family "Bacterial small subunit ribosomal RNA", at positions 524 to 776 of the family's 1533-position model. The record is from RNAcentral.
GACAGGGGGUGCAAACGUUGCUCGGAAUUACUGGGCGUAAAGCGCGUGUAGGCGGUCUCGCGAGUCGGGUGUGAAAGCCCGGGGCUCAACCCCGGACGUGCAUUCGAUACUACGAGGCUGGAGUACUGUAGAGGAGAGCGGAAUUCCCGGUGUAGAGGUGAAAUUCGUAGAUAUCGGGAGGAACACCAGUGGCGAAGGCGGCUCUCUGGACAGUGACUGACGCUGAGACGCGAAAGCGUGGGGAGCGAACAGG